RNAcentral lists this ribosomal RNA (934 nucleotides) under uncultured Archaeoglobales archaeon. RNAcentral describes it as "bacterial SSU rRNA". It matches the Rfam family "Archaeal small subunit ribosomal RNA", at positions 1 to 922 of the family's 1478-position model. Lineage: Archaea; Methanobacteriati; Methanobacteriota; Archaeoglobi; Archaeoglobales. The record is from RNAcentral.
UUCCGGUUGAUCCCGCCGGAAGCCGCUGCUAUCCGGUUGGGACUAAGCCAUGCUAGUCUAGGGGCUUGUACCCCUUCGGGGGUGCAAGCACCGGCGGACGGCUCAGUAACACGUGGACAACCUGCCCUCGGGUGGGGGAUAACCCCGGGAAACUGGGGCUAAUCCCCCAUAGGUGAUGGGUGCUGGAAUGCCCCAUCUCCGAAAGCGCUCAGCGCCCGAGGAUGGGUCUGCGGCGGAUUAGGUAGUUGGUGGGGUAACGGCCCACCAAGCCUAAGAUCCGUACGGGCUGUGGGAGCAGGAGCCCGGAGAUGGACCCUGAGACAAGGGUCCAGGCCCUACGGGGCGCAGCAGGCGCGAAACCUCCGCAAUGCGGGAAACCGCGACGGGGUUAGCCGGAGUGCCCGUGCAUUGCACGGGCUGUCGGGGUGCCUAAACAGCACCCCAUAGCAAGGGCCGGGCAAGGCCGGUGGCAGCCGCCGCGGUAAGACCGGCGGCCCGAGUGGCGGCCACUCUUAUUGGGCCUAAAGCGUCCGUAGCCGGCCCAGUAAGUCCCCCGGGAAAUCUGGUCGCUUAACGAUCAGACUUCCGGGGGAUACUGCUGGGCUAGGGACCGGGAGAGGCCGAGGGUAUUCCCGGGGUAGGGGUGAAAUCCUGUAAUCCCGGGGGGACCACCUGUGGCGAAGGCGCUCGGCUGGAACGGGUCCGACGGUGAGGGACGAAGGCCUGGGGAGCGAACCGGAUUAGAUACCCGGGUAGUCCAGGCUGUAAACGAUGCGGGCUAGGUGUCACCGGAGCUACGAGCUCCGGUGGUGCCGGAGGGAAGCCGUUAAGCCCGCCGCCUGGGAAGUACGGCCGCAAGGCUGAAACUUAAAGGAAUUGGCGGGGGAGCACUACAACGGGUGGAGCCUGCGGUUUAAUUGGAUUCAACGCCGGG